RNAcentral lists this transfer RNA (73 nucleotides) under Spirochaetaceae bacterium. RNAcentral's name for it is "tRNA-Met". It matches the Rfam family "tRNA". From Rfam's summary of the family: Transfer RNA (tRNA) molecules are approximately 80 nucleotides in length. Lineage: Bacteria; Pseudomonadati; Spirochaetota; Spirochaetia; Spirochaetales; Spirochaetaceae. The record is from RNAcentral.
CGCGGGGUAGAGCAGUUGGCAGCUCGUCGGGCUCAUAACCCGGAGGUCGUAGGUUCGAGUCCUACCCCCGCUA